Molecule: non-coding RNA, 136 nt
Organism: Hordeum vulgare subsp. vulgare (domesticated barley)
Lineage: Eukaryota; Viridiplantae; Streptophyta; Magnoliopsida; Poales; Poaceae
Source: Rfam
CAUAUACUCCCUCCGUCCUAAAAUUCUUGUCGUAAAUUUAUCUAGAAUUGAAUGUAUCUAAAUAGUAAAACGUGACUAGAUACAUUCUUAUUUAGACAAAUUUAAGACAAGAAUUUUGGGACGGAGGGAGUAUCAA